RNAcentral lists this ribosomal RNA (434 nucleotides) under uncultured Lachnospiraceae bacterium. Its description in RNAcentral is "partial 16S ribosomal RNA". It matches the Rfam family "Bacterial small subunit ribosomal RNA", at positions 341 to 792 of the family's 1533-position model. Lineage: Bacteria; Bacillati; Bacillota; Clostridia; Lachnospirales; Lachnospiraceae. The record is from RNAcentral.
ACGGGAGGCAGCAGUGGGGGAUAUUGCACAAUGGGGGAAACCCUGAUGCAGCGACGCCGCGUGAGUGAAGAAGUAUUUCGGUAUGUAAAGCUCUAUCAGCAAGGAAGAAAAUGACGGUACUUGACUAAGAAGCCCCGGCUAACUACGUGCCAGCAGCCGCGGUAAUACGUAGGGGGCAAGCGUUAUCCGGAUUUACUGGGUGUAAAGGGAGCGUAGACGGUAAGGCAAGUCUGAAGUGAAAUGCAGGGGCUCAACCCCUGAACUGCUUUGGAAACUGUCAAACUAGAGUACAGGAGAGGUAAGUGUAAUUCCUAGUGUAGCGGUGAAAUGCGUAGAUAUUAGGAGGAACACCAGUGGCGAAGGCGGCUUACUGGACUGUAACUGACGUUGAGGCUCGAAAGCGUGGGGGGCAAACAGGAUUAGAUACCCUGGUA